UAGAAUUUUGUAUCUUUUCUAAACAGGACUGUAGUAAAGUUAACAACAGUCAUCAACAGAUGUUUCCUCAACAUGUUAUAUUCUGUUUGUACUAACUUAGCUGCUGGUGAGACUAAUCUAAUAAAACUGCAAUCCUCAAGUCAAUAUAUAUGAUAUAUUAUUUACUUCAAAUAUGCUGUUUCACCGUAUGUUAAAUCAGAGCAAAAAAGGAUCUUCAACCAAGCAUUUGUCUGGCUGUUCCACUAUUUCAUGUUUACAUCAGUUACAGUGUCAGAUUGUGUACAGGUGCAGAAGGCAGCAGAGGUCACGGUUCCUUCUUAGAAGGUUUGAAUGAGUCCAUCCAUCGACUGGACCCUUUGACUGAUGCUCUUCUUCUUUAUGGGAGGAGACAAUCAGCUGAUCCAGGUUUUCUCUGUUCUUUUUCCGGAAAUGCUUCAGAAACAGGAAGGACAUUAUUUGUAGUAGUGCAGCUCCAUCACAAAGGGAAGAAGCAGAGGAGGAGUUUAACCUGUUCACUGAUGCUGUUAAACUGACUAAACUGUUUGUUUGUCGUAUAGCUGAAGUUCUACUAGAUAGAUAAAGUACAAAGUGCCCAGGUUCAAAUGCUGAUUCUGGCACCAGGUGUGUCCUUAAUCAAGGUGCUUCACACUCGCGUCCCACAUAGGACUGGUUAAAAUGCAGAUUAAUUUUCCCAGUGUGGGAUUAAUAAAGUUCAUAUAUAGUAUAUUAUUAUAUGAAAGCAGUACAAACAGCUAAGAUUAGCAUGUCUGUGUAUCAGUGUAGUGUCCCAAUAAAAUAUAUAGUGUCCUGCUGUUAUUUUGUUUUCUCCAAGUUCCCUCUUGUGUUUGUUGUUUGUGUCAUUUCCUAUCAUGUCAUUGUGUUCAUUUGAUUUACCUGUAGGUUUGAGUAUUUAAGCUCUGUCUAUUGUUCCAGCAGAUGCUGUUGUGUCACAAUCAUAAGCACAAAAGACAAGCAGUGAAUUUAUGUUUAGUUACUCACUACCUGUGUGUAUUUAUGCUGCGAGCAGUGAGUUUAUGUUUGUGUAACAUUCAAUAAAUGAUUGUGUAUUUCA
Molecule: long non-coding RNA, 1072 nt
Organism: Betta splendens (Siamese fighting fish)
Lineage: Eukaryota; Metazoa; Chordata; Actinopteri; Anabantiformes; Osphronemidae
Exons: 2
Source: RefSeq, a predicted model, not a curated record